GCCAGGUGCGGUGGCACACACCUGUAAUCCCAGCAACUCAGGAGGCUGAGGCAGGAGGAUCACAAGUUUGAGGCCAGCAUGGGCAAUUUAGGAAGAUCCUAUCUCAA
This 107-nucleotide small RNA is filed under the name Marmota monax (woodchuck). Lineage: Eukaryota; Metazoa; Chordata; Mammalia; Rodentia; Sciuridae. The record is from RNAcentral.